AUGCUCACUUUCGCAGCACAUAUACUAAAAUUGUAACAAUACAGAAAAAAAUUAGCAUGGCCCCUGAGCAAGGAGGACAUGUAAAUCCAAGAAACAUUCCAUAUUGAA
Trichosurus vulpecula (common brushtail) is the source of this 108-nucleotide small nuclear RNA. NCBI's taxonomy places the organism in Eukaryota, Metazoa, Chordata, Mammalia, Diprotodontia, Phalangeridae. The record is from RefSeq and is a predicted model, not a curated record.